AUCGAACCUGUGCCACAGCAGCAACCCAAGGUCUUCCAGGGACAACACUGGAUUCUUAACCUGAUGCACCACAAGAGAAUUCCCAAACUAUUACAUUUAGAAAGGAUAAACAACAAGGUCCUAAAACAUAGUUCAGAGAACUACAUCUAAUCUCCUGGGAUAGACAAUGAUGGAAAAGAGUAUGUAACUGAGUCACUUUGCUGUACAGAAGAAAUUGGCACAACAUUGUAAAUCAACUAUAGUUUAAUUUUUUUUCUUUUUAGGGGCGCACCUGCAGCAUGUGGAGUUUCCCAGGGUAGGGGUCUAACCCCUAGCCUGGGAACCUCCACAUGCUGCAGGGGUGGCCCUAAAAAAGCAAAAAUAAACAAAUAAGUAAAAGAACUUGAGUUUGAGCCCAAACAUUGCCACCAAGUAGCAAGCAGCCUUGAGCAAAUCUCAGCUUUUCUAUCUAUAGGUGAGGGCUGAACCCUAACAGCGAAGGCACUUCCAGCAUCACAUGCAAAUCAAUACUAUACAAACACUUUCAGCUGAAGUAUAAUGAGACAGUUUGCCUUUAGAGCUAUACAAUCUCUCAUUAAAAUAUCUCUUUGAUCAAACAGAGACAAAGCACUGAUGAUCUAAAGCUUCCCUGUGGACCUCUCUGUCAUAUGUAUGAAGGAAAACUGUAGAAUCAGAAGGAGGAGGAAAAAAAAAAGCAGAGAUUUGAAGCAAAAGUGCCUCUCUACAGCCAUACCACCCUGAACGUGCCAUCUGAUCUUGUCUGAAGCAAAAGUGAUUAUAAAAUCUAUUCUAGGAGUUCCCGUCGUGGCGCAGUGGUUAACGAAUCCGACUAGGAACCAUGAGGUUGCGGGUUCGGUCCCUGCCCUUGCUCAGUGGGUUAACGAUCCGGCGUUGCCGUGAGCUGUGGUGUAGGUUGCAGACGCGGCUCGGAUCCCGCGUUGCUGUGGCUCUGGCGUAGGCUGGUGGCUGCAGCUCCGAUUCAACCCCUGGCCUGGGAACCUCCAUAUGCCGCGGGAGCGGCCCAAGAAAUAGCAACAACAACAACAACAAAGACAAAAAAAGACAAAAAAAAAAAAAAAUAAAAAAAAAUAAAAU
RNAcentral lists this long non-coding RNA (1095 nucleotides) under Sus scrofa (pig). Its description in RNAcentral is "lncRNA (ENSSSCG00000063264.1, ENSSSCG00035077762.1, ENSSSCG00065022305.1)". Lineage: Eukaryota; Metazoa; Chordata; Mammalia; Artiodactyla; Suidae. The record is from RNAcentral.